GAUGAACGCUGGCGGCGUGCCUAAUACAUGCAAGUCGAGCGAACAGACGAGGAGCUUGCUCCUCUGACGUUAGCGGCGGACGGGUGAGUAACACGUGGAUAACCUACCUAUAAGACUGGGAUAACUUCGGGAAACCGGAGCUAAUACCGGAUAAUAUUUUGAACCGCAUGGUUCAAUAGUGAAAGACGGUUUUGCUGUCACUUAUAGAUGGAUCCGCGCUGCAUUAGCUAGUUGGUAAGGUAACGGCUUACCAAGGCAACGAUGCGUAGCCGACCUGAGAGGGUGAUCGGCCACACUGGAACUGAGACACGGUCCAGACUCCUACGGGAGGCAGCAGUAGGGAAUCUUCCGCAAUGGGCGAAAGCCUGACGGAGCAACGCCGCGUGAGUGAUGAAGGUCUUCGGAUCGUAAAACUCUGUUAUUAGGGAAGAACAAAUGUGUAAGUAACUGUGCACGUCUUGACGGUACCUAAUCAGAAAGCCACGGCUAACUACGUG
This 497-nucleotide ribosomal RNA is filed under the name uncultured bacterium. Its description in RNAcentral is "partial 16S ribosomal RNA". It matches the Rfam family "Bacterial small subunit ribosomal RNA", at positions 28 to 507 of the family's 1533-position model. The record is from RNAcentral.